This 497-nucleotide ribosomal RNA is filed under the name uncultured bacterium. Its description in RNAcentral is "partial 16S ribosomal RNA". It matches the Rfam family "Bacterial small subunit ribosomal RNA", at positions 28 to 507 of the family's 1533-position model. The record is from RNAcentral.
GAUGAACGCUGGCGGCGUGCCUAAUACAUGCAAGUCGAGCGAACAGACGAGGAGCUUGCUCCUCUGACGCUAGCGGCGGACGGGUGAGUAACACGUGGAUAACCUACCUAUAAGACUGGGAUAACUUCGGGAAACCGGAGCUAAUACCGGAUAACAUGUUGAACCGCAUGGUUCAACAGUGAAAGACGGUCUUGCUGUCACUUAUAGAUGGAUCCGCGCCGCAUUAGCUAGUUGGUAAGGUAACGGCUUACCAAGGCAACGAUGCGUAGCCGACCUGAGAGGGUGAUCGGCCACACUGGAACUGAGACACGGUCCAGACUCCUACGGGAGGCAGCAGUAGGGAAUCUUCCGCAAUGGGCGAAAGCCUGACGGAGCAACGCCGCGUGAGUGAUGAAGGUCUUCGGAUCGUAAAACUCUGUUAUUAGGGAAGAACAAAUGUGUAAGUAACUAUGCACGUCUUGACGGUACCUAAUCAGAAAGCCACGGCUAACUACGUG